Molecule: long non-coding RNA, 4565 nt
Organism: Bos taurus (domestic cattle)
Lineage: Eukaryota; Metazoa; Chordata; Mammalia; Artiodactyla; Bovidae
Source: Ensembl
GGGCCUCCUCAGCCACCAAUGGGCUCACAAAUCUGCCUCCCCAGACCGGGCCCCGGGGUCCUGCCGCGCUCUCCUGGCCUCUGCUUUUCAGCCCCGCCCGUGGGUGCCUGGCUGUGCAGACAGGCAGGCCUGGGAGGGGCUGGGGCUCUGGGCCGCCACGUGGGACAGGAUGGCUGUGAAGUGGGAUGACCCAGCCACUGUGCUUCUGUUCAACGGCGAGCAAAUGAGUAAACCCCCCAGCAGCCAUGUCCCGCGCGCCCUGACCGUGGUCCUGAAGCAGGCACUCGGGAAGAACAGCUCGCUGAUCCAGCGAGUAGGGGAGGCGAGGGUCUGCCAUCCGGCCCCCACCAGCUCCCGCUGCCCCGUGUCUGAGCCUAGGUCUCCCUCCUGAAAGAAGAAACGUGUGCGGGGGAGAAAUCACCCUGGGACCCCACCCGGGGCCUCCAGUGACCAUAGACCAAGGGCAUGCGGACCUCCAAGGACUGAUGCGGGUGGCCACUGGGCUCGAGUCUGUGCAGGGGGCCCUUGAGCGGUCUCCACGGUCAUGAGCAUCCUCUCUUAGAGUCACUCUCAGAUACUUGCCCCGAAGCCCCCAGGGUCUAGUGAGUGGAUGGGGGCCCUGAGGCUGGAGAAGCCGUGGACCCCCCCCCCAGGGCCCCCCAGCCUACAGCCCUGCCCUGCCCCGUGGGGAGGACCCCAGGGCAGGUCGGAAGGAAGAGGAUCCUGCUCUGGGAUGCGUGGGCUGGUGACUCCUCCCUGACCGAGGCUUCGUCCCUGCGGUGGCCACACUGCGGUGGCCACACUGCGGCGGCGGGGCAGGGGGAAAGCAGCCCCACCUCCUGCCGGCUGAGGCCCGCCGCUCCUCCAGGUUGGCCGCUGGCUCACCCACCAGCUCUUAACAGCUCAGCUGUGGUCCUCCGUGUGUGCCCUGGAGAGACGGGGCUUCCCUGGGCACCAGGAUCUUCACCCCGUGGAGCCCAGGUCUGCAGUGAUGAGCACAGAUGCCCGGACCAGGGGGGCACUGGGAGUAACCACUUCUGCUCCUCCCCAGGCCCCCGGCCCCCAGCCCUGAGCCUGGCACAGCACCGCCCAGGCCCCACUGUGGGUGGGGGCCGUGCUGUGACCCUCCCACCGCUGGGACAGUGCAAUGUUCUCAGGGUUCUCAAGCCCCGGACCUUGCUGCAUAAAGGCAGGAGAUGGCGCGGCCCCGGAGCUGGAUGAGGACAUGCUCUCGGCCCGCCCUGUGGGAUGGCUGUGUGCAGCCCCUUUUCUCCAUGGAGACAGACACCAGCACUUUCAAACCGUGGCCACACACGCUUCCCCGAGCCCACCGGCCUUCCCGCCUCUGGGCACCUGCCCAGCGGCUCCGCUCAGGACGCCAGCCCAGCCCGUGCCAUCCAGUCCCAGAAGGAAGUCGGGGGCAGCAGACGCUGCAGGGCCGGCCUGGCAACUGACCAGGGCCCCGCAGGGCUGAGAGGCCUGGCCUCAGCCAGCUCUCCUCCCCAGAGCGCGGUGGGCACUGCUUGCCCUUGGCGGGCACGAAGCUCCCACCUGGGGUCUCCACCACAAGAGCGCACUCUUCACUGGCCCCAGCAGGACAGGUGUCCAUGCCAGUCACACACACGGGGACUGGAGGAACGGCCAACGUGGUUCUCAGGUCUCCCGCCCUAACGAGGACCCCAGGGCCCCCGCUCUAAUGGCCGCGAGGCACCUCAGGUCUCCACACCCCAGCACCACGCAGACCCUGUGUCCUCCCCCGGGGCCCCUCGCUGGAAGCCUGCAGGGCCGGGCUGUCCCCCCUCCGCCCAACACUGAGAUUCUCGGCCAUGGGCUGGGAGCUGCCGGUGGCAAGAGGUCCCCUGGCAGGCUGCGGGCAGAGCGGCGGGGGCGGGACCUGGGUCAGCGCGGGCCCCUCAGCUGCCCUGCUGGCUGGCGCGGGGUGGGGGCCAGGGAGGGUCAUCCAAGUGAGAUGGGACAGUGGCAAGGACUCGGGGGUGAUGAGCGCUGGGCAGGCUCUGGACCCCGGCCCACCUUGUGCAGCCCACCUCCCGUCCAGCGGGCAGCAGGAGCCGGCGGCCCCCGGUGGAGCGACCCACAUGUGUGAAGCUGAGGGAGGCCCCCCAGCCAGGACCCGGACCAGCCACACCAACGCCACCCUGGCCGAGAUGUCCCGCGAGACCGCGGCCCUGCUCCGCGCCUUGACUUGGGGGGCGUGGCCGCACCUGGAUUCCAGGCCCUCAGGAGCCGGGAGACAGCCAUAGGGUUUGGGGUCACUUGCAAUGACCGCAGGACGCUGAAGGAGCCAGCUGUAGGUGUGACGGAGCAGAGGCCAGGGCGUCCGGGCGAGAGGGCAGUGCCCACCUGGCACUCGGGGGGCAGGUCCCGAGAAGCUGCUCCGAUGAGGGGAGCCAUACGUGUCUCUGUGGCCCCUGUAGGGCAGCGGUGGCGGAAGGAGGGCCUGGGAGCGGCCAGAGGAUGAGGAGGGGUCAGGAUUUGGGGGACGGGACAUGGGCCGGCAGCAGCAGGCAGCAGGGAGGGUUUCUCCAGACACGUCCUGCUCCCUGAGUUUGGGGGGGAGAUGGGGUGGUCGGUGGGGGUGGGGGAGAUGGGGUGGUCGGUGGGGGUUGGGGAUCCUACCUGGGUGAGCAGGACAGUGAGAACGGCCAGACGGCGUCGGUGCUGAAGAGCCUGGGGCUCCCGGGUCCAGCGGCUGGACUCUGCGCUUCCAUCGCCCCGGGGCAACCGUUCAAUCUCUGGUCCGGAAACUGAGAGACCCUGCAGGCUGCACAGUGCAGACAAAACACCUACACACUCACACACACGUGCGCUCACAUGCGCUCACACACACACACACACUCACACGCGCUCACACACACGCGUACUCACACUCACACACUCUCAUACACAUUCACACACGCACUCACACACACACGUGCUCACACACUCACACUCACACGUGCUCACACAUUCACACACACACACAUGCACUCACACUCACAUGCACUCACACACUCACACUCACAUUCACACACACACGUGUGUUCUCACAUGUGCUAACACACACACGCACUCACACACACACUGUCAUACACAUUCACACACGCAUUCACACACACACACAUGCGCUCACACUCACACACACACGCUCACAAACUCACACUCACGUGCUCACACACACUCACACACACACGCACACACACACGCACUCACACACACACACAUGCGCUCACACUCACACACGUGCUCACAAACUCACACUCACGUGCUAACACACAUUCACACACACACACACACACUCACACGUGCUCACACACUCACACUCACACGCGCUCACACAUUCACACACACACACAUUCACACACGCACUCACACACACACGUGCUCACACACACUCACACGUGCUCACACAUUCACACACACACACAUGCACUCACACUCACACACGCGCUCACAAACUCACACUCACGUGCUCACACACAUUCACACACACACACACGCACUCACACUCACACACAUUCACACACUCACACACACGUGCGCUCACAUACGCUCACACACACAUGCACACUCACAUGCACUCACACACACAUGCACUCACACUCACACACUCAUACACAUUCACACAUGCAUCACACACACACGUGCUCACACACACAAACUCACGCUCACACACACUCAUACACACACACGCACUCACACACACUCUCAUACAUUCACACACAUGCACUCACACGUGCUCACACACAUUCACACACACUCACAUGUGCUCACACACACAUUCACACACAUGCACUCACACUCGCACUCACAUACAUUCAUACACACACACUCAUGCACUCACAGGCACUCACACACACACACUCACAUGCACUCAUGCACUCACACAUUCACACACACACUCACACACUCACACUUUCACACAGUCACACACUCAUACUCACACGCACUCACACACUCACACACACACACUCAUACUCACACACCCGCACUCACACACUCACACACACAGUCACACACUCACACUCACACACGCACACACACCCCACCCUGAGAUCCCACCUUGCACCCACCAGGAUGGCCAUCACCAAAACAGAGCCAGGCAGAUGCCAAGCAUUGGCAGGAGGUGGCAGUCGUGUCCGACUCUUUGCGACCCCAUGGACCGCAGCCCCCCAGGCUCCUCUGUCCAUGGGAUCCUCCAAGCAAGAAUACUGCAUUGGGUUGCCAUUUCCUCCUCCAGGGGAUCUUCCCAACCCAGGGACGGAACCCGGGCCUCUUGCGUCUCCUGCACUGGCAGGCAGGUUCCUUACCACAGCGCCACCUGGGAAGCCCAUGGAACGAUGCGGUUCCCCGGGAUGGGCCCGAUGACCCACAGGACCCGGGGUUCCACUCUUGGGUCUGCCCAUGGAACGAUGCAGUUCCCGGGAUGGGCCCGAUGACCCACAGGACCCGGGGUUCCACUCUUGGGUCUGUAACGCCUAUAAGAGCCGAGAGCAGAGUCUCCCACAGGUGCCUGCACACACCCGCACUCACAGCAGACAGGGGUGGGACCCACGUGUCAAUCAGCA